Molecule: non-coding RNA, 733 nt
Organism: Camelina sativa (false flax)
Lineage: Eukaryota; Viridiplantae; Streptophyta; Magnoliopsida; Brassicales; Brassicaceae
Source: RefSeq, a predicted model, not a curated record
CAAACAAACAACUCCAAAGAGCACUCUAAUACUUAGUAUUUACCAUGAGAUCAAAAGGACGCCUUUCUUGAGCAAGAAUCUCAUCCUUUGUGGGAAUUAAGUAAAAGCAGUUACCCUUAAGGGAACACCAAUUUGUGGAGCAGCGAGGCCAACUCCAGGAGCCAAUCUCAUGACUUUAAUCAUAUCAUCAAUUAUCUUCUGAAUACGCUCUGACCCUAUCUCUUCCGGGUCAACUUCUCGGGCUUUCUCGUGCAGAACCGGGUCUCCAGCUCCCACUAUCUCCGAGAUGAGGAAGAUGACGGCAGAUUGUACAGCUUACGGUUCAGCAAGUAUGAGGAACCGGGUCUCGUGACGGGGAAACGGAUCGAGCGACAUGUCACGGCGGCGGAAACCGGAAGUAGACGAAGUGAUACUCUGAAAAGGGUUUCCAUGGUGGCCGUCGCUUGGUCUCGGUGGAGAGCGGUCAUUUCUUUGGAAAUUAUGUCUCUUUGGGCCUAUAACCGCUCGUUCGGCCCAUUAUUGUGGCAGCCCAAUUGCAUAGCUUAAUAUAUUCUUCAAGUUUUAACUAAUUGGGUCAACUUUCAUGGAGCAAUUUUGGGUUCGAGUUUUUAAAAAGUGUAGUAAGCAAAGUAUUGAUCUACUUAGUGUAAUAAAAUAUAUAUUUGAAUCCUUGUAUUAAUCUGUGUAAUUUGGCUUUGCAUUUUAUAGAAACAAGUAACAUAAUUGUGUUUCA